ACUAUAUGUAGUGUUCAAGGUGCUGAUCCCCGCUAGGGGUAAGGCAUGGGAAGCCGGUGCAAGCCCGGCACUGCCCCCGCAGCUGUAAGCGGCGAGCCAAGGCCGACAAUGCCACUGGGAAACCGGGAAGGCUGGCCAAGGCCGUGACCCGCGAGUCAGAAGACCGACCCUGAACCGAUAUCAGCC
Molecule: non-coding RNA, 186 nt
Filed under: Frigidibacter mobilis
Lineage: Bacteria; Pseudomonadati; Pseudomonadota; Alphaproteobacteria; Rhodobacterales; Paracoccaceae
Source: RNAcentral